CUCACUGCAACCUCUGCCUCCCAGGUUCAAGCAAUUAUCCUGCCUUAGCCUCCCGAGUAGCUGGGACUAUAGGCACAUGUCCGGCUAAUUUUUGUAUUUUUAGUAGAGACGGAGUUUCACCUUGUUGACCAGGCUGGUCUCGAACACCUGACCUAAAGUGAUCCACUUUCCUCAGCCUCACAAACUGCUGGGAAUACAGACGUGAGCCACUGUGCCCGGCUUGAGUCUUCACAUUUCUUAAAAGAGAAACGAUCCUAGUCCCUGGCUUUUCCGACACGUAACAUUUCCAAGAUGACAUCUGACGAGGUUAGUGAUGAUGCCUCUGUGGUCUAGGACCCAAACCUUGCUGUGAUUCUGCUGUCAUGUAAUUCUGAGCAAGUCUGAUGGGAUUUCGCAUAUACAGAACCUCCACCUUCAGCCCCCAGCUGUAUAUAAGCAGUGGGCUGAAACAUCGUGCCAGAGUCUGCUCCUGGGCUGGAGGCCUCAAUCUAUAGUCCUCUCUAAGACUUCUGAAUAAAACUAGCAUUCAUUCUUUAAAAAGCUUGAUUUUUUUCUCUUUUAUUUGACCCAUGGUAGAGAAUAACUGGGUCUAUGUGUGAAGGGUGAGGAGCAGAAGGGGUCGGUCUCUCAGUAAGAGGCAUUUCACCCAAGAGCUAAGGAGGAAAGGGGAGCCCACCAUAUUCAUGCCUGGGGAAGAGCAUUGCAGGCACAGGGAACGGCAAAGUCGGAGGCUCUGAGAAAGAGAGAACAUGGCACGUCUGCAUAAGCUCGAGAGGAGGAAGAGGAGGAAGCCACGUGGGGCAGAGUGGGAGGAGAACCUCGGGGCUAGCUUUCAGGGCUGUGACAGGGAGUUCAGGUUGUAUUCUAAGUGCAUUAGGUAACAUUGCAAGGUUAAAACCGAGAGUGACACGGUUUAUCUUUUAAAAAGCUUACUCUGAGGCCAGGCACAGUGGCUCACGCCUGUAAUCCCAGUACUUUGGGAGGCCGAGGCGGGCGGAUCACCUGAGGUCAGGAGUUCAAGACCAGCCUGGCCAACAUGGUGAAACCCCAUCCCCUCUAAAACUACAAAAAAAUUAGCCAGGUGUGGUGGCGGGCACCUGUAAUCCCAGACACUUGGGAGGCUGAGGCAGGAGAACAGCUUGAACUGGGAAGGCAGAAGUUGCAGUGAGCCGAGAUCGUGCCACUGCACUCCAGCCUGGGCGACAAAAGUGAAACUCCGUCUCAAAAAAUAAAAUAAAAUAAAAAUUAAAAAAAGUUGACUCUGGCUAUGAACCCUACCAUCUGUUAUCCCGCCCACACCUGUGGAUUCUUGUUCGAUGUGGGGCUCUGGGGGAGCCAAGGUCCCUGCCCCUAAGAGGCACUCAGCUCUCCUCCCUGCCACAAUUUCACCCCCCGAUGAGUCCCCCUC
This 1408-nucleotide long non-coding RNA is filed under the name Macaca fascicularis (crab-eating macaque). Its description in RNAcentral is "lncRNA (ENSMFAG00000060105.1)". The record is from RNAcentral. Lineage: Eukaryota; Metazoa; Chordata; Mammalia; Primates; Cercopithecidae.